GGAAGGGAGAGGUGUGGGGAGCUCUGCUUCAGCUGUGGGGCCUCAGGAGGCAGGACUCAGGGAUGACCUCCACCAUGGCCUGGGCCCCUCUCCUCCUCACCCUCCUGGCUCACUGCACAGGAUCCUGGGCCCAGUCUGUGCUGACUCAGCCAUCCUCAGUGUCGGGGUCCCCGGGCCAGAAGGUCACCAUCUCCUGCACUGGAAGCAGCUCCAACAUUGGGAGUAAUAGUGUGUACUGGCACCAACAGCUCCCAGGAAAGGCCCCCAAAUGCAUCAUCUAUGGUAGUAGCAGUAGACCCUCAGGGGUUCCGGACCGAUUCUCUGGCUCCAAGUCUGGCAGCUCAGCCACCCUGACCAUCACGGGGCUGCAGGCUGAAGAUGAGGCCGACUAUUACUGCUCAUCAUGGGACGACAGACUAUUACUGCUUAGCAUGGGACGACAGUCUCAAUGCUCACACAGUGCUGCAGGCCUGUGGGGAAGUGAGACAAAAACCCCUCUGGUCUGUGAGGGG
Myotis davidii is the source of this 512-nucleotide non-coding RNA. Lineage: Eukaryota; Metazoa; Chordata; Mammalia; Chiroptera; Vespertilionidae. The record is from the annotation of a RefSeq genome assembly.